GUUCACGCUGGCGGUAGGCCUAACACAUGCAAGUCGAACGGCAGCACAGUAAGAGCUUGCUCUUACGGGUGGCGAGUGGCGGACGGGUGAGGAAUACAUCGGAAUCUACUUUUUCGUGGGGGAUAACGUAGGGAAACUUACGCUAAUACCGCAUACGACCUACGGGUGAAAGCAGGGGAUCUUCGGACCUUGCGCGAUUGAAUGAGCCGAUGUCGGAUUAGCUAGUUGGCGGGGUAAAGGCCCACCAAGGCGACGAUCCGUAGCUGGUCUGAGAGGAUGAUCAGCCACACUGGAACUGAGACACGGUCCAGACUCCUACGGGAGGCAGCAGUGGGGAAUAUUGGACAAUGGGCGCAAGUCUGAUCCAGCCAUACCGCGUGGGUGAAGAAGGCCUUCGGGUUGUAAAGCCCUUUUGUUGGGAAAGAAAAGCAGCAGGUUAAUACCCCGCUGUUCUGACGGUACCCAAAGAAUAAGCACCGGCUAACUUCGUG
RNAcentral lists this ribosomal RNA (491 nucleotides) under uncultured bacterium. Its description in RNAcentral is "partial 16S ribosomal RNA". It matches the Rfam family "Bacterial small subunit ribosomal RNA", at positions 33 to 507 of the family's 1533-position model. The record is from RNAcentral.